CCUCCCUCAUUACCAAUGUUAUCCUCUUCCUCUGGGCUAUGGGCUCCUCUGCUUCUGGUGCAACGCGCUAUUCUCUACAUCACGAAAAGCGUAUAGGUCGGACUGUGUAUGCGCCAUGUUAAACGUCCACAUGAGACUUUUUCGCAGAGUUCCAAUCAUUGCAAAUCUUCGAAUAUAAAUUACCUCUGCAUGAGUCCUGUGUGUCGAUUGCACGGCAUCCGUGCUUUCUAAAUUCAAAGGCGACUGUAGCCUGGAGCUUGCGAUGCGACUGCUGGAUAGUAAUUUAUGACAUCUGAUAGCUUUCAAGGACACUGGCUGCCUCGUCAGACCCAAAGCGCUGGCAUGCAACUGAACAUGGAGGCAAUUACAGAAAAUUCCCCUAGUGUGCAACAUACAACUGAACGCCAUUACGGGUGCCUUAAAAUUGUUCUCGAUGCGAUGACACUGUCUCAAUCAUU
RNAcentral lists this long non-coding RNA (458 nucleotides) under Coccomyxa subellipsoidea. RNAcentral's name for it is "long non-coding RNA (CSUB_LNC000785)". Lineage: Eukaryota; Viridiplantae; Chlorophyta; Trebouxiophyceae; Coccomyxaceae. The record is from RNAcentral.